GGAAUUUUGGGCAAUGGGCGAAAGCCUGACCCAGCAACGCCGCGUGAAGGAUGAAAUCCCUCGGGAUGUAAACUUCGCAAGAACGGGAAGAAUAAGUAAGAGUUAAUAUCUCUUACGAUGACGGUACUGUUUGUAAGCUCCGGCUAACUCCGUGCCAGCAGCCGCGGUAAUACGGGGGGAGCAAGCGUUGUUCGGAUUUACUGGGCGUAAAGGGCGCGUAGGCGGUCAGCACAAGUCAGUUGUGAAAUCUCCGAGCUUAACUCGAAAAGGUCAACUGAUACUGUGCGACUAGAGUGCAGAAGGGGCAACUGGAAUUCUCGGUGUAGCGGUGAAAUGCGUAGAUAUCGAGAGGAACACCUGCGGCGAAGGCGGGUUGCUGGGCUGACACUGACGCUGAGGCGCGAAAGCUAGGGGAGCGAA
This 420-nucleotide ribosomal RNA is filed under the name uncultured bacterium. Its description in RNAcentral is "bacterial SSU rRNA". It matches the Rfam family "Bacterial small subunit ribosomal RNA", at positions 358 to 772 of the family's 1533-position model. The record is from RNAcentral.